GUAGCGCAAUUAAUCGUCAAUUAAUUGUUGACCAGUAUGAAUGGCGUCACGAGUGCUUGACUGUCUGAAGACAAGGCCCAAUGAAAUUGAACUCGUAGUUCAGAUGCUACGAAAUUUUGUAAGACAAGAAGACCCUAUUAAGCUUUACUGAAAACUUAUACUGUCAUAAUGAGUAGUGGGAAGUGAGAAUUAAAACACAAAUUAUAUAUUUUGAAAGACAGAAUCGCAAAAGAAACUUAAUUAGUAUGUUGGACAGUUUGGUUGGGGCGACUCCCUAAGAAAUGAUAACUAAGGGGCACUAAGGUAAUAAAGCCUGACUGUAAGAGGGCACUCAAACAGACACGGAAGUGGGUAAAGCGAACCGUUAAUAAAAGUGAAAUAGUUAACGAUAAACGAAUAAAAGUUACUAUAGGGAUAACAGCGUAAUAUUGUUAGAGAGCACAUAUCAACAACAGUGUUUGCGACCUCGAUGUUGAAUUGCGGCAUCCUAAGGGUGCAGAAGCUCUGGAGGGUUAGUCUGUUCGACUAUUAAAGCCUUACAUGAU
This 545-nucleotide ribosomal RNA is filed under the name Isarachnanthus maderensis. Its description in RNAcentral is "partial 16S ribosomal RNA". It matches the Rfam family "Bacterial large subunit ribosomal RNA", at positions 1956 to 2604 of the family's 2925-position model. Lineage: Eukaryota; Metazoa; Cnidaria; Anthozoa; Penicillaria (in: tube anenomes); Arachnactidae. The record is from RNAcentral.